RNAcentral lists this long non-coding RNA (1461 nucleotides) under Rattus norvegicus (Norway rat). Its description in RNAcentral is "long non-coding RNA NONRATT019393". The record is from RNAcentral. Lineage: Eukaryota; Metazoa; Chordata; Mammalia; Rodentia; Muridae.
GGGAAUUCACUGUGGCCCUGACUGCAGGAGAGUGGAAGUGCCAAGACACCUUCGACAGUUGUGCUCUUCAGCCAGGUGUGCUUACAAAAUGGGAAGCUCCGGGGUGCCUCAGAGACCCUCCAGGUGCUAGGGCCUCUAACCUUUAGCUAUGUGUCCCCUUUCAGGGAUGGGACAGUCUGAUGGUUAUGUUAUUUUGCAAAGACACAGAGAGCAGUCACACAACGUUCAGGGGCAGCGGCUGGGCUCCAUUUGUUCAGAUCAGCAUUUAUUUGUAGGAAGCGGUAACAUUUACAACUGGUCCUCAGGCAGGAAUAUGGAGGGCCACCUCCCGAGGCCGCCCCAGGGAGCCCAGCCCUCCUGGGGAGAAAGUAGCUUCCCCGUGCUCCAAGGACUAAGCCUCUCCUCAACCCCACCCCAACCUCGUGUCCCAGGGCCCAGGGCUUCUUGGUAGGCCUCUCUGGAAGUCAGUCCGCGGGCUCCCUGAGGAUAGGGGUUUUCCUGCAGCUGAGCUGGGUUUUUUGGGGGAGGGGGUGUGUGUCCACAGUCUUUCUCUUCUUUCAGAUUCUCGGAAUUAGAUAGUUGGCCCUGUUUGGGAGGCUGGAUGGGGUGAGACUACACUACAGCACUUUCCAGAAACAUGAGGAACAUUUACACAGGAUAGGGCUCCAUCAAGCCUGCGUGCACUCACAAAAUAAAGCAUUUCCUAAGGAACCAAGGGAGUGGGAAAGGGAGGGAGUGAGAUAGGACAAGACUCCAAAGCCACUUGGAUUCUCCAAUACAUAUGCGAGCAAAUACAGCGUCCCCCAAAUAACUCACAGAGACCAACCACACAGUCACUUCUACCUAAAAAAAAAAGAAGAAUGUCCGAAUCGCUGCAGAGUUUCUGAAUCAAGCACCCACAAAGAAAACAAUCAACAACAAAAAACCAAAACCCGCUGCCUUUUGAGCGCUGCAGGCCUGACCCGCACUGGGUCAGUCUCCUUUAGGACAUUUCUCCUUGCUCAUCUUUUUCAUUUUCAUCCUACGGUUCUGGAACCAGAUUUUGACUUGUCUCUCUGUAAGGUUCAGAAUCCUGGCCACCUCGUAGCGCCGGUCCCGGGUGAGGUACAUGUUGAAGAGGAAUUCCUUCUCCAGCUCUAGCGUCUGGUAUUUGGUGUAGGGACAGCGCUUUUUCCGGGUGGAGCGAGCGUGGAUCCAGUUCGCUGCAGGGUUGUCUAGGAAGAGGGGGGUUUGCAGACAAGGGAGCGAGGGGCGGAGGGGAGGCAGGGAGAGACGACAGGGUGGGGAAGAGAGGUCGUUAAAUUAAUUUCACCAAGGAUGGACGCUUUUCACAACUUGGGGGAAUUAUCAUAAAAAACCUUAAUGCCCGCGCUCUGUUUACCGUACAAACCGCGCGCCCAAGGUAGGUGGUUAUGGGAAGCUUUUUUAUGGAUACGUGUUGCUCGCCUAGGCUUGGGUAGG